GGGUCAGUAGGUUGGUCGUGCCACCGGUACGUACUGGUCUCACUGAUUCCUCCUUCCUGAAGAACCGUAAUGCCAUUAAUUUGGUGUUGCGGGGAAACAGGACUGUUACUUUGAAAAAUUAGAGUGUUUAAAGCAAGCUAACGCUUGAAUACAUUAGCAUGGAAUAAUGGAAUAGGACGAUCGAUCCUAUUUUGUUGGUUUCUAGGAUUGACGUA
RNAcentral lists this ribosomal RNA (215 nucleotides) under Glomeromycotina sp. Its description in RNAcentral is "partial small subunit ribosomal RNA". The stretch from base 40 to 215 matches the Rfam family "Eukaryotic small subunit ribosomal RNA", at positions 686 to 864 of the family's 1831-position model. Lineage: Eukaryota; Fungi; Glomeromycota. The record is from RNAcentral.